Molecule: non-coding RNA, 795 nt
Organism: Salmo salar (Atlantic salmon)
Lineage: Eukaryota; Metazoa; Chordata; Actinopteri; Salmoniformes; Salmonidae
Source: RefSeq, a predicted model, not a curated record
UUUAAAAAUUGUUCAAGCUCUGUCAUUGUGUUGGGGAUAAUGGGCUAGACAGUAAUUUUCAAGUCUUGCCAUAGAUCUUCAAGGAGAUUUAAGUCAAAAUUCUAACUAGGCCACUCGGGAACAUUCAAUAUCUUCUUGGUAAGCAACUCCAGUGUAUAUUUGGCCUUGUGUUUUAGGUUAUUGUCCUGCUGAAAGGUGAAUUCAUCUCCCAGUGUCAGCUGGAAUGCAGAGGGAAGCAUGUUUUCCUCUAGGAUUUUGCCUUCUGUUUUAUCCUGAAAAACUCCCCAGGAUUUGCCGAUGUCAAGCAUACCCAUAACAUGAUGCAGCCACCACCAUGCUGGAAAAUAAGGAGGCAGUUACUCAAGUGAUGUGUUGUGUUGAAUUUGCACCAAACAUAAGGCUUUGUAUUUAGGCCAAAAAAGGUCCAUUGAAUCCCACUUUGUGACACAAAACAAAAUGUUCAAAUCCAUGGCUGGGUGAAUACUUCUGAUACCCACUGUAUGAGGGGUAACUUUUACUUUUGUGUUUUUAUAUAAGAUGAUUUAAUACCUGAAAUAUAUUAUUAUUUUAAAAGUUAUGUUUUUAAAGCGUAGUGAGUGACUAUGAACCGUGAGUAGUAGUAGUAGAAGAGACCAGAGCUAGUGUGGAGGCAGAUGUGUGUGUGUGUUUAUAGGAGCAGUAUAGGGAGGAUCCCUGGUGUAGUUGGAUAUGGGACAGACAGACAGACAGACAGACAGACAGACAGACAGACAGACAGACAGACAGACGUAGUUGGAUAUGGGACAGACAGACAGA